This 7137-nucleotide long non-coding RNA is filed under the name Capsella rubella. Its description in RNAcentral is "long non-coding RNA (CRUB_LNC000702)". Lineage: Eukaryota; Viridiplantae; Streptophyta; Magnoliopsida; Brassicales; Brassicaceae. The record is from RNAcentral.
UUCCCCCAAACCAAGCCUCAAUUGAACCGACGAUUUAAAACUUAAACCGUCAAACCAAAAUUACUAGUGUCGAUCGACACUCGACCUCACUCGGAUUUCGGGUCACGGGCUUUACAAUUCUCCCCCACUAACUAGGAUUCGUCCUCGAAACCUUCAACACGUCCGUCAGUACACCACUGACCCCCGAGGCUCCUAUCUAAUGAAUAUACUCACGUUCGAGUCAUACCGGCCCACUAUUAGGCCACCCGCCUUCUAGCUACGGUAUCCGGGAAGUCUCACGCUCGCUCUCGGGUCGUCACCCUCAAGCGUGCACUCGAAUCGUCAUCCGAGGCCAUCACAUCAUAUCCGAGGAAAAAAGUCUAAACGCCCUCGAGCAUAUCUCUCGAUCAGAUAUACCUCCCGUGGUCCACUUAUAGCAUCGCAAUGCUAUACUAACCACCACCCCGAGACUUUUCAAACAUAGAACCGUCAAACCCGACACUUUCUAUUUUUAGAAACUCGCACAUAUUUCUUUAACACAUGACACCACAAGUCAAUCCAAGAAAUACUCAUCUUAUUAAUCUCAAAUGUCAUAAUCAUUACACCAAAACGAAAAUACAAAAGAGAUACAACCAAAACAACUCGAAAACAACACAAGCCAACGGUCUACUCCUCGACCUGCUUGUCAAACCACUUCCGGAACCUUGACUUCAUCCUGACCACUGGCUCCCAAGUCUCCUCCAAGACUCCAUCACAGUCCCACUGGACACUCAUCAAAGGAAUCUUCUUCCGUCAAAGUUCCUUUACACGCCUCUCGAGAACCCUCAAUGGUCUCGCCUCUAAGGUCAUGCUAGGCUGAAGAUCCGCCGGAAUCGUAGCCAACACCAUCAUCCUUGUGCAGACACUUCCUCAGCAUCGACACGUGGAAUAACUUUUGAAAUGCAUGCAUCACCUCAGGUAACUCCAACCGAUAAGCCACCGGUCCAACCCGCUCCACAAUCCUGAAAGGACCCAUAAACCUCGGACUCAGCUUAGUCUCGGUAAGGGACCUGUUAGGACCACGCAACAUCGCCAUCUUGAGAUACACCAUAUCUCCAACCUCAAACUCCAACUCCUUGUGCCUCUUAUCAACAUAACACUUCUGCCGAUCCUGCGCCUCUCUCAUGUUCAGCUUCAGAACCCGAAUCUUCUCUGAAGUCUCCUGAACAAAAUCCGCACCAUAAAUGCUCCUCUCCCCCACUUGGGUCCAGCAUAGAGGUGUCCGACAUGGUCUCCUAUACAACGCCUCAUAAGGAGCCAUCCCAAUACUCGCCUGGUAGCUAUUAUUAUAAGCAAACUCCACCAAGCUCAAGUGGUCUGCCCAUUGACCACCCCAGUCCAGCACACACAUCCUCAACAAAUCCUCAAGUGUCUGAAUGGUCCGCUCAGACUGCCCGUCUGUCUGAGGAUGGUAAGCCGUGCUUAAAUGCACCUUAGUACCCAUCUCCUUCUGGAAAGCUUUCCAGAACGCCGAAGUGAAAUUCGAAUCCCGGUCUGACACAAUACUGGCCAGUACUCCAUGAAGUCUCACAAUCUCCUGCAAAUACUUCUUAGCUAACACUGCCGCUCCAUCGGUUUUCUUGGUAGCCAAAAAAUGUGCAGACUUAGUCAAACGGUCCACAAUGACACAAAUGGCAUCCUUGAACCGAGACACUGGCAAACCUACCACGAAAUCCAUCGUGAUCAUGUCCCAUUUCCACUCUGGAAUAGGGAGACUCCACAAUAAUCCACUCGGCACCUGAUGCUCAGCCUUCACUAGCUGACAUACAUCGCACUUAAAGAACCAUUUAGCCACAUCCCUCUUCAUCCCGACCCAAUGAUAGUACCGCUUCAGAUCUCGGUACAUCUUGGUCGCUCCUGGAUGAAUAGAGAACCUACUCGCAUGAGCUUCACUCAAGAUCUCUCGUCUCAACUCCUCAUCCUUGGCCACACAAUCCCGCCCAUGCACAAGGAUAGUACCAUUGCCUGCAACAUGAUACUAUGACUCAAUAUCCUUAGAAGCAUUAACCAACCCUGCAUCCUUCUCCUUAGCCGCUCGAACUCUGGUCAGAAGAUCUGCUCGGUUAGCUGCUUCUAACCCUAGUGGCUCCUGAGAAAUAACACACAACUGCAAGGUGCUAAGUUCUCCCACCAAGGUCUCCAUAUCCUGCGCUCGAGCUGAAACCGCCCGCUUCCAGCUCAGAGCAUCUGCAACCAGAUUAGCCUUACCAGGAUGGUAAGCUAUCUCCAGAUCAUAGUCUGCAACCAACUCCAUCCAGCGCCUCUGCCUCAAGUUCAACUCAGGCUGCGUGAAUAUAUACUUCAGACUCUUAUGAUCUGUAAACACCUGAACUUUCCCUCCAUACAGAGAAGAUCUCCAAAUCUUCAAAGCAAAGACCACCGCUGCCAUCUCCAAGUCAUGAGUAGGGUAGUUACCCUCAUGCGUCCGCAACUGCCGUGAAACAUAGGCAAUCACCUUACCUUGCUGCAUCAACACAAACUCCAAACCAACUCCCGAAGCAUUCGUGUACACCACAUACGGCUCUCCAUGCUCCGGUAAAGCCAAAAUUGGCGUACUCGUCAACAUCCCCUUGGGCUGGGCGAAACCCUGCUCACACUCAGGAGUCCACACAAAAGGAUCAUCCUUCCCCGUCAGCUUGGUCAUCGGCUGAGCUGUGAUGGCAAAGCCCUUCACAUACCGUCUGUAGUAACCCGCCAAUCCUAGAAAGCUCUGAAUCUCUGUGGCAUUCUGCGGUCUAGGCCAAUCCCUGAUAGCCUCAAUUUUCUCUGGAUCCACAGAAACUCCCUCUGCAGACACGAUAUGACCCAUAAAACCCAUCUCUUUCUGCCAGAAACUGCACUUGCUAAGCUUAGCCUACAGCUUCUGCUCCCGCAACUACUCCAACACUGCCCGCAAGUGCCCCUCGUGCUCCUCAGGACUUUUAGAAUACACCAGAAUAUCAUCGAUGAAGAUGAUAACAAACUCAUCCAAAAACGCCUAGAACACACUGUUCAUCAGCCUCAUGAACGCCGCUGGUGCAUUAGUCAACCCGAAAGGCAUCACCACGAGGUUGUAAUGCCCAUACCUCGUUCUGAACGCCAUCUUACGCAUAUCCGCCUCGUCGAUAGAAAUCUGAUGGUACCCCGACGCUAAAUCAAUCUUAGAGAACCACGUAGCUCCCCUCAACUGAUCCAACAACUCAUCAUUCCGCGGUAGAGGAUACUUGUUCUUUACCGUGACUCGGUUAAGUCCCCGGUAAUCGAUACACACCCAGAAACUCCCAUCCUUCUUCUUAACGUACAACACCGGUGCUGCCCACAGUGAAACACUAGGACGGAUGAAACUCUUAUCCAAUAGAUCCUCCAACUGUUUCUUCAGCUCAGCCAUCUCCGCUGGAGCCAUCCGGUACGGAGCAUUAGACAACGGCGUCGUUCCGGGCUCUAACUCAAUUGUGAAGGGAUCAGACCGAGAUGGUGGUAACCCCUUCAACGACUGAAACACAUCCUCGAACUCCUAGACCACUCGGAUCUUAUCCACUGCUACCUCUCCGACCGUCUCUGGCAUCACAAUUGUCGCCAAGUAAGCUUCCCGCCCCUUUCAGAUCAUCUUAUCUGCCUGCAUCGCCGAAAUCACUAAACUCCCAGAAAUCGGUCCCACCCCCUGGUAAUACAUCUUCGGACCGGGCCGCUCGAAAUAGACUCUCCCCCGAUGACAAUCCAGAUGAACUAUGUGCCGAUCCAACCAAUCCAACCCUAGAAUUACAUCAUACAGCUCCACCGGACUAAUGUACAGAUCUGCCGGCAUCGACUCUCCCGCAAUCUGUACAUCCACACGACUAGCCCGUCCCUGAACCGCUAGCAACGCGCCUCCUACGACUCUGACGGCUCCAAAACAACCAUCGGGAUCUCCUCGGAUGUUACCACCCGUCGCGCACUCUGUGGUAAUGAAGCUAUUCGUAACUCCAGAAUCAAACAUCACGUGGGACAAGAACCUGCCCACCAAUAGGGUCCCUACACAAACCCUUUUCACUAAGACCGCCCACCAAAAAUCACAAGAAAACAACUCAAAUUUUAAAACCACAGAAGGAAAAGACUGAGACUUAGAAUUAAACCUGUGAUCGGCCGUCCAGUUUUUGCUCUCCUGUCUCCACGGUCGAGUACCCCCGCGAUCCCUCAAUCAGUGCCACCGGCGGUGCUCCCAGCUGAGCCAAAGACUGCCCUCCAAGCUGCAAUCAUGGCUGCACCCACUACUGCACUACUGGCUGCAUCACCGGCUGCACCGCUGCUACCGCCAUCUGCUGCAACUUAAGACACCUCGUCUUGAUGUGCCCUGUCUCUCUGGAGUGGUAAGCGACACGGGUAUCCACCCACGGCUCGCCCUUCUUCGGGCAGCUCGCCACCUUGUGAUCCGUGUUCCCACACCUGAAGUACCUCCGAUCAACCUGACUCACCCCAGAAGUGUCGUCCCACUUCCUCUUCUGCCCCCGAGCAGGUUUGCCACCUCUGCUCGGAACCGCCUACGGCUGAGUCUUCUUUGGCUGUACCGACGAACUAGGAAUCACCCCGUGACUUCUCAACUCGUCCUCGAUCCCCGCCGCCACCUGAACCAGCUCCACACGCGAUGCAUAGGCCUGCACCUCAUGUCAGGGCUGAGACCCUUCAUGAACCGACGCACCUGCAUCUGCUCAGGAUCUCCCGCACCCCCCGAGUACACCAGGAGUCGGCUGAACUCCGAGUCAUACACCCGCACUAACCGCUCGCCCUAAGUCAACGCUAAGAACUGCGACUCCAUCCGGUCCAGUGUCUCUGCCGGGAAAUAUUUGGCAUUGAACUCUGCCACGAAAUCUCCCCAUAGCGCCAAUCCCUGACCCCUCUUGGCCAGCACACUCUGUCAUCACAAAUGUGCAUCACCGGCCACGUAGUGGGCCGCCAGGUCCACCCGAUACGCCUCCGCGCACCUCAUCGACUGGAAAUACCGCUCCAAUCGUACCUGCCACUCAUCCGCUACAGCCGGGUCGGAUCCUCCGAAGAACAAGAACAUCCCGAACCGUUGCAGCCGCUCUAACAUCCGCAUGUAGUAUGGCUGCUCGACCACCACACCUACCCCUCAGGCUGUACAACCCCGACAACGGGCUGCACACCAGGCCCAACGGGCUGCACACAAGGCCCAACAGGCUACACACCAGGCCCAACCGGAGCCUGCACCACAGGCCCAACAGGAGCCUGCACCUCAGGCCCAGCAAGAGCCUGUACUGGUGGUACCGCACCCGGUAACCGCUCCAAGAGCUGCGUCAACAGAUCCGCAAGUUGAUCAUUCUAACCAUGGGCUCCACCUGCUGGAACACCCUCAACCGGGUUUCCAACAAAACUAGUACCGUUCCCGGACGAACCGGCUCCCACGGCACUCACACUCUCACCACCCACGGGUCCCUCGUGAUGCGACUGGGAAUCGCUAACAAAAUCGGCCGUAACACUCCGGUCCACACUCGUAUCGGUACCCGAGGUAACACCACGCCCCCUACCGCGACCACGCCCACGACCAGGACCACGACCACGACUGACAGCUCCACCUCCAACCAUCUGCAUCACAACAGAAGGCUAAGAACACCAAACAAAAACACCACACCAUACAACUUACCGUGGAAUCUCAUUGAAGGCUCGAGAGGAUGAUCUAGGUCUCCAUGCUCACACAAUUGAUUAAACACACAAUCAAUCAGCAUGCUAUCCACAUCAUCAUUCCUCAUCAAUGAAAUUCACACAUCACAUCACAAUUUACCAAUUAAAUCUCGUCCUAGAACCGUAAAUGCUCUGAUACCAAAUUGAAAGAAUCCAUCCCCAUUUUUUUUUUAAAAAAAACAUGCAAACCGGAUUAACCUAAUUAAUUAAAACCAGCUAAACCGGCCAUAAUAAUUUAAAUCAAUUAAACCAAGCACAUAUAACAUAACCAGCAGAAGACUUAAACACAAUCCAUGAAAUUAAUUCCAUUAAACCAACAAGUUCAACCAAACAUUAUUCCAAAACAUGAUCAUCCUAACAUGUUUCUAAAUUCCAUUCUAACACCCUAACAAAUCCAACAAUAAUCUAAAACACCAAUGAGCACCUAGAUCAUCCUCCUCUCCUCGCCAUGAUUCCACGGAUCACACUUUAGCUUUACCUGCAUUACAGUAAGAGAUGCAUAAGUAUUUCAUAAAUACUUAGUGAGGCAAUCAUCCCACCACUGGCUAUACACACAAGCACAUUCAGCCAUUAACCAAAGAAAAGAACCAAACAACCAAUAAAAGAUAGACCAUAAUCGCUUCUGACUAUCGGUGUCGAUCGACACCCACCACUGGUGUCGAUGGACACUCCCUGCCGAGCCUCACGGUCGACACCGGUCUCGACACUCCGAUCGUAAGACGCAGUUAUCCUCGCGAGACAAAAAGUUGGUGUCGAGCGACACUCACCCUUGGUGUCGAUCAACACCGACUCUCUACGAACGCUCAAACUGCAUUUCUCACUGGAUCUCUUCUCCAAAUCACCAUCAUCAUAUGAGCGAGUCUCCAAGGGGUUCCACAAGCAUCAAUCAUCAAAUAAACAGCCAAACAAGCAAAGAAAUCAAUCAAACAAUCAUCAAACUCCUAAACCAAUGAUCAAACAUGCUUAGAUAAGCCUGGUCAUGCACUCACCUCUUUAAACAAGAAAGAACAGCAACGAAGAGGGACUUGCAAGGGUGGAACUAUCUCCACAGACACCAAAUACCACAGAUCAACCUUCCUCUAGCCUUGAACCACCAAGAACAAGCUUUGAUCUUUCCAAAAACCCACUCAAAGGCACCAAAAAGGAUCAAACUCACUCUCUAUUCUCUCUCAAACUCACAAAGCGACAAAGUGCAGUUUAAAGAGAGAAACGGCGCUCCAAAGCUUAUAAAGACGACCUAGGUUUUCACCCAAACCAAGCCUCAAUUGAACCGACGAUUUAAAAGUGAAACCGUCAAACCAAAAUUACUAGUGUCGAUCGACACCCGACCUCAGUGUCGAUCGACACCCGACCUCAGUGUCGAUCGACACCACCCGGAUUUCCGGUCACGGGCGUUACAACGAGAACGAGGAGGAAACGCAAAUCACGCUUGUAUGUGUGUGUGUGUGUGUGUGUGUGUGUGUG